AGAGCGUAGGGAGGAUACCUAGGCACCAAGAGCCGAAGAAGGACGUGAUAAGCUGCGAAAAGCUAUGGUAAGGAGCAAAUAUCCGCUAACCCAUAGAUAUCCGAAUGAGGGAACUCAAUCUGAGUAAAAGUCAGAUUAUCCAUACAUGAGUAAAGUAGUGUAUAGGAAGGGAACGUAGGGAACUGAAACAUCUUAGUACCUACAGGAAAAGAAAGAAAACUCGAUUCCUAAAGUAGUGGCGAGCGAAAUAGGAAGAGCCUAAACUGAGUUUGCUUGCAAAUUCAGGGUAACGGACUGCGGAAUCUACUAAUUAAUGGAAGAAGAAUCGUCUGGGAAGGCGAACCAAAGAAGGUGAAAGUCCUGUAAAAGAAAGAGAUUAGGGAGGCAGUAUCCAGAGUAGUGCGAGACACGUGGAAUCUCGUAUGAAUAAGUGGGGACCACCCCAUAAGGCUAAAUACUCCUUGGUGACCGAUAGAGAUUAGUACCGUGAGGGAAAGGUGAAAAGAACCCCGGGAGGGGAGUGAAAUAGAACAUGAAACCCUAUGCUUACAAACAGACAGAGCACGUUAAGGUGUGAUGUCGUACUUUUUGUAGAACGGUCCAGCGAGUUAUUGUGUAUGGCAAGAUUAAGUACUAAAGGUACGAAGUCGAAGCGAAAGCGAGUCUGAAAAGGGCGAGUAAGUCAUAUAUAAUAGACCCGAAACCGAGUGACCUAACCAUGGUCAGGAUGAAGCUUGAGUAAAAUCAAGUGGAGGUCCGAACUGAUAAGCGUUAAAAAGCUUCCGGAUGAACUGUGGUUAGCGGAGAAAUUCCAAUCGAACUCGGAGAUAGCUGGUUCUCCUCGAAAUAGCUUUAGGGCUAGCCUCGAGAGGAGUCUAACGGAGGUAAAGCACUGAACUGACGCGGGGCCCAAAAAGGUUACCAACUCAUAUCAAACUAAGAAUGCCGUCAAGAUACCCUCGGGAGUCAGACUACGUGAGAUAAGUCUCGUGGUCAAAAGGGAAAGAGCCCAGACCGACAGCUAAGGUCCCAAAGUGUAUGUUAAGUGGGAAAGGAUGUGGGAUUUCGAAGACAACUAGGAUGUUGGCUUAGAAGCAGCCAUACAUUUAAAGAGUGCGUAACAGCUCACUAGUCGAGAAAACCUGCGCCGAAAAUAAACGGGGCUAAAACAUACCACCGAAGCUACGGAUUUCCUAUGGAAGUAGGAAGUGGUAGAGGAGCAUAGUGCAGUAGGAAGAAGUCAAAGCGAAAGCGAUGAUGGACGAGGCAGUAGAGAGAAUGCCGGAAUGAGUAGCGAGAUAGAAGAAAGAAACUUCUAGGCCGAAUAUCUAAGGAUUCCUGGGUAAAGCUAAACUUCCCAGGGUAAGUCGGGACCUAAGGCGAGGACGAAAGUCGUAGUCGAUGGAUAACUGGUAGAGAUUCCAGUACUACAAAUAAUCAGAACUGUGGGGACGCAGGAGGAUAAGUAAACCGGGGAGAGGAAAGACCCGGUCAAGCAUAAAGGCAUGGUAAAUAGGAAAAACCGUUUAUCUAAGCUGAAAUGUGAAGAGGACUGAAAAAGAGUAAGGAAGUUACUGAAUCCACACUGUCGAGAAAAGCCGCUAUAGCGUUAUUUGUACCCGUACCGUAAACCGACACAGGUAGAUGAGGAGAAAAUCCACAGGCUGACGGGAGAAGUGUUGUUAAGGAACUCGGCAAAAUGACCCCGUAACUUAGGGAAAAGGGGAACCAACGAGAGUUGGUCGCAGAAAAGAGGCUCAAGCGACUGUUUAGCAAAAACACAGGUCUCUGCGAAACCGAGAGGUGAAGUAUAGGGGCUGACACCUGCCCGGUGCUGGAAGGUUAAAAGGAGAGGUAAGGCGCAAGCUGAAGCUUUGAAUUCAAGCCCCAGUAAACGGCGGCCGUAACUAUAACGGUCCUAAGGUAGCGAAAUUCCUUGUCAGGUAAGUUCUGACCCGCACGAAAGGUGUAACGAUUUGAGCACUGUCUCGACAACACGCCCGGUGAAAUUGAAGAACCAGUGAAGAUACUGGUUACCCGCAACAGGACGGAAAGACCCCAUGGAGCUUUACUGCAGCCUGAUACUGGGAUUCGAUGAUAUAUGUACAGGAUAGGAGGGAGGCUAAGAAGCGAGUACGCUAGUAUUCGUGGAGCCGCUGGUGGGAUACCUCUCUUAUAUCAUUGGAUUUCUAACUUGCAUCUGUGAACCAGAUGAAGGACAAUGUCAGGCGGGCAGUUUGACUGGGGCGGUCGCCUCCAAAAGAGUAACGGAGGCGCUCGAAGGUCACCUCAGAAUGAUUGGAAACCAUUCAAAGAGUGUAAAGGCAAAAGGUGGCUUAACUGCGAGAGCGACGGUUCGAGCAGGUACGAAAGUAGGACUUAGUGAUCCGGUGGUAAUAAGUGGGAAUGCCAUCGCUCAACGGAUAAAAGCUACCCUGGGGAUAACAGGCUUAUCACUCCCAAGAGUUCACAUCGACGGAGUGGUUUGGCACCUCGAUGUCGGCUCAUCGCAUCCUGGGGCUGUAGCAGGUCCCAAGGGUUGGGCUGUUCGCCCAUUAAAGCGGUACGCGAGCUGGGUUCAGAACGUCGUGAGACAGUUCGGUCCCUAUCCGUUGUGGGCGCAGGAUAUUUGAGAGGAGCUGUUCUUAGUACGAGAGGACCGGAAUGGACAUACCACUGGUGUACCAGUUGCAUACCAAGUGCACAGCUGGGUAGCUAAGUAUGGACGGGAUAAACGCUGAAGGCAUCUAAGCGUGAAGCCUCCCUCAAGAUAAGAUAUCCCAAAGCGCAAGUGAGUAAGGUCCCUUGA
This 2809-nucleotide ribosomal RNA is filed under the name mouse gut metagenome. Its description in RNAcentral is "bacterial LSU rRNA". It matches the Rfam family "Bacterial large subunit ribosomal RNA". The record is from RNAcentral.